AUUCCUACGGGAGGCAGCAGUGGGGAAUAUUGCACAAUGGGCGAAAGCCUGAUGCAGCGACGCCGCGUGAGGGAUGACGGCCUUCGGGUUGUAAACCUCUUUCAGUAGGGAAGAAGCGAAAGUGACGGUACCUGCAGAAGAAGCGCCGGCUAACUACGUGCCAGCAGCCGCGGUAAUACGUAGGGCGCAAGCGUUAUCCGGAAUUAUUGGGCGUAAAGAGCUCGUAGGCGGUUUGUCGCGUCUGCCGUGAAAGUCCGGGGCUCAACUCCGGAUCUGCGGUGGGUACGGGCAGACUAGAGUGAUGUAGGGGAGACUGGAAUUCCUGGUGUAGCGGUGAAAUGCGCAGAUAUCAGGAGGAACACCGAUGGCGAAGGCAGGUCUCUGGGCAUUAACUGACGCUGAGGAGCGAAAGCAUGGGGAGCGAACAGGAUUAGAUACCCUGGUAGUCCAUGCCGUAAACGUUGGGCACUAGGUGUGGGGGACAUUCCACGUUUUCCGUACCGUAGCUAACGCAUUAAGUGCCCCGCCUGGGGAGUACGGCCGCAAGGCUAAAACUCAAAGGAAUUGACGGGGGCCCGCACAAGCGGCGGAGCAUGCGGAUUAAUUCGAUGCAACGCGAAGAACCUUACCAAGGCUUGACAUGAACCGGAAACACCUGGAAACAGGUGCCCCGCUGCGGUCGGUACAGGUGGUGCAUGGUGUCGUCAGCUCGUGUCGUGAGAUGUUGGGUUAAGUCCCGCAACGAGCGCAACCCUCGUUCUAUGUUGCCAGCGCGUUAAGGCGGGGACUCAUAGGAGACUGCCGGGGUCAACUCGGAGGAAGGUGGGGACGACGUCAAAUCAUCAUGCCCCUUAUGUCUUGGGCUUCACGCAUGCUACAAUGGCCGGUACAAAGGGUUGCGAUACUGUGAGGUGGAGCUAAUCCCAAAAAGCCGGUCUCAGUUCGGAUUGGGGUCUGCAACUCGACCCCAUGAAGUCGGAGUCGCUAGUAAUCGCAGAUCAGCAACGCUGCGGUGAAUACGUUCCCGGGCCUUGUACACACCGCC
Molecule: ribosomal RNA, 1045 nt
Filed under: uncultured Arthrobacter sp.
Lineage: Bacteria; Bacillati; Actinomycetota; Actinomycetes; Micrococcales; Micrococcaceae
Description: bacterial SSU rRNA
Rfam family: Bacterial small subunit ribosomal RNA
Source: RNAcentral